This is a long non-coding RNA of Lontra canadensis (Northern American river otter), 351 nucleotides long. RefSeq lists it as uncharacterized. Lineage: Eukaryota; Metazoa; Chordata; Mammalia; Carnivora; Mustelidae. The record is from RefSeq and is a predicted model, not a curated record. The transcript has 3 exons.
GCAGGGGCGGCGCCGGAGCAGGGCAACGACGCCGGAGAAGGAGGGCGCUCGCCCCGGGCCGCUGCCGCACGUGCCCCGCUAAGGACGUAGGAGAGCCCGCAGGCCAGACCCGGGGCGGGUCCAGGGAAGGGGUCGAGGUCAGAAUCCUCCUCGAAACUGUGAUGUAGGCAAAACUUGUCUAUUCAAACUGUAGCUGAGAAGGAAGACGACGACCAGGAGCAGGAGGCAGAGGAUGGCAAAGGAAGGAAAAGCUAACAAAAGGACUAUUAAAUAUAUUGAAGAAAAACUAAGAUAAAGUUGAACAUAUGCCAAGAACCAAAGUGAAGGAGUAUUUGCUGACCUAGGGGUAUG